GACGAACGCUGGCGGCGUGCUUAACACAUGCAAGUCGAACGGAAAGGCCCUGCUUUUGUGGGGUGCUCGAGUGGCGAACGGGUGAGUAACACGUGAGUAACCUGCCCUUGACUUUGGGAUAACUUCAGGAAACUGGGGCUAAUACCGGAUAGGAGCUCCUGCUGCAUGGUGGGGGUUGGAAAUUUUCGGCGGUUGGGGAUGGACUCGCGGCUUAUGAGCUUGUUGGUGGGGUAGUGGCUUACCAAGGCUUUGACGGGUAGCCGGCCUGAGAGGGUGACCGGCGACAUUGGGACUGAGAUACGGACCAGACUCGUACGGGAGGCAGCAGUGGGGAAUAUUGCACAAUGGGCGGAAGCCUGAUGCAGCAACGCCGCGUGCGGGAUGACGGCCUUCGGGUUGUAAACCGCUUUCGCCUGUGACGAAGCGUGAGUGACGGUAAUGGGUAAAGAAGCACCGGCUAACUACGUG
RNAcentral lists this ribosomal RNA (468 nucleotides) under uncultured bacterium. Its description in RNAcentral is "partial 16S ribosomal RNA". It matches the Rfam family "Bacterial small subunit ribosomal RNA", at positions 28 to 507 of the family's 1533-position model. The record is from RNAcentral.